AACGAACGCUGGCGGCAUGCCUAACACAUGCAAGUCGAACGAGACCUUCGGGUCUAGUGGCGCACGGGUGCGUAACGCGUGGGAACCUGCCCUUAGGUUCGGAAUAACUCCCCGAAAGGGGUGCUAAUACCGGAUAAUGUCUUCGGACCAAAGAUUUAUCGCCUUUGGAUGGGCCCGCGUUGGAUUAGCUAGUUGGUAGGGUAAAAGCCUACCAAGGCGACGAUCCAUAGCUGGUCUGAGAGGAUGAUCAGCCACACUGGGACUGAGACACGGCCCAGACGCAUACGGGAGGCAGCAGUGGGGAAUAUUGGACAAUGGGCGAAAGCCUGAUCCAGCAAGGCCGCGUGAGUGAUGAAGGCCUUAGGGUUGUAAAGCUCUUUUACCCGGGAUGAUAAUGACAGUACCGGGAGAAUAAGCUCCGGCUAACUCCGUG
This 433-nucleotide ribosomal RNA is filed under the name uncultured bacterium. RNAcentral describes it as "partial 16S ribosomal RNA". It matches the Rfam family "Bacterial small subunit ribosomal RNA", at positions 29 to 507 of the family's 1533-position model. The record is from RNAcentral.